AUGCAAGUCGAGCGGUAGCACAGGGAGCUUGCUCCUGGGUGACGAGCGGCGGACGGGUGAGUAAUGUCUGGGAAACUGCCUGAUGGAGGGGGAUAACUACUGGAAACGGUAGCUAAUACCGCAUAACGUCGCAAGACCAAAGAGGGGGACCUUCGGGCCUCUUGCCAUCAAAUGUGCCCAGAUGGGAUUAGCUAGUAGGUGGGGUAACGGCUCACCUAGGCGACGAUCCCUAGCUGGUCUGAGAGGAUGACCAGCCACACUGGAACUGAGACACGGUCCAGACUCCUACGGGAGGCAGCAGUGGGGAAUAUUGCACAAUGGGCGCAAGCCUGAUGCAGCCAUGCCGCGUGUAUGAAGAAGGCCUUCGGGUUGUAAAGUACUUUCAGCGGGGAGGAAGGCGAUAAGGUUAAUAACCUUGUCGAUUGACGUUACCCGCAGAAGAAGCACCGGCUAACUCCGUGCCAGCAGCCGCGGUAAUACGGAGGGUGCAAGCGUUAAUCGGAAUUACUGGGCGUAAAGCGCACGCAGGCGGUCUGUCAAGUCGGAUGUGAAAUCCCCGGGCUCAACCUGGGAACUGCAUUCGAAACUGGCAGGCUAGAGUCUUGUAGAGGGGGGUA
RNAcentral lists this ribosomal RNA (617 nucleotides) under Enterobacter sp. RNAcentral describes it as "bacterial SSU rRNA". It matches the Rfam family "Bacterial small subunit ribosomal RNA", at positions 55 to 663 of the family's 1533-position model. Lineage: Bacteria; Pseudomonadati; Pseudomonadota; Gammaproteobacteria; Enterobacterales; Enterobacteriaceae. The record is from RNAcentral.